GGAAUGUUUUGGAGACCUUUAUGUAGAUGAGAAAACAAGCUUUGGCCACUCCAGUCCAUCUCUGGUGGAUCUUAAUUAUUUGCAGCUACUUCCCAAGGGUAAAGGUAAAAAGCUUUAUUCUACCAGACUUCUCAUAGGCCACUCCUUUCUGUUGUCUCCUCUGUUCCAUUCUGGCCCCUUUGUUCAUUCAUUAGAAAUUCAGAACUUUUUUUUUUAAUACUUAUGAAGGUGCUGGGACAGUGGCCUCAAAUCAUUUUUGGAAUGAGAUGGAGAAUUUAAAAAAUGCAUUACUGGAAUCUCACUUCCAAGUAUAUAUCCAAAAGAACUGAACACAAGAUCUCAGAUACGUGUAUACCCAUGCUCAGAGCAGCAUUAUUCAUAAUAGGUAAAAGGUAGAAGCAACCUAAGUGUCCCUUGAUGGAAGAAUGGAUAAACAAAAUGUGCUACAAACAAUGUAAUACUGUUCAGCCUUAAGGGGGGAAAUGUAUCAACCUUGAGGACAUAUGCUAAGUGAAAUGAGCCAAUCACAAAGAGACACACACCGUGUGAUUCCACUUACAGAAGGUAUCUAGAAUACUUAAAUUCAUAGAGACAGAAAGUAGAAUGGUGGUUGCCAGGGGCAGGGGUGAGGGGAAAGUAGAGAGUUGUUCAAUGGAUAUAAAAUUUCAGUUUUGCAAUAUGAGUAAGUUCUAGAGAUUUGUUACACAACCAUGUGACUAUACUUAACACUACUGAACUAUACACUUAAAAAUGGCUGAUGGUAAUUUUUUUUAACCACAGUUUUUAAAAAAGUAUUUUAAUGCAUCACUGGGUGUCAGGAGACCUAAGUUCUGCUAGAGGCUCCAACGCUGACUUGUACAACCUUCGGCAAAGCACUCUCUGGAACUCAGGUGCAUACCCUCUCUCGGCUUCAGUUUCCACAUCUGCAAAUUGGAAGUUGAACCGCAUGGUCUUCAAGGUCCUUCCCAGGCGAAAGCCUGGUACCAAGUAGACCUAGCCAUUAAAGCAGCUUCCUGUGGGCGCGGUGCAGGGUUUUAACGGUCCCCCCU
Molecule: non-coding RNA, 1049 nt
Organism: Kogia breviceps (pygmy sperm whale)
Lineage: Eukaryota; Metazoa; Chordata; Mammalia; Artiodactyla; Physeteridae
Source: RefSeq, a predicted model, not a curated record